GUUGAGUUGGUUGAUUGUAAGAAAAUGAAUUUCUAACAGAAUUUGAAAUAAACCCUUAAAGCAAGUUUGAUAAGAGAUACAAUAAAUUUGUUCAACAUAAAUAGGAAAAAGUGAAACAAAAUUUUUCAUAAUAAUUUUAUAAGGAUUCUAAUGGUACAGUUUACUGUUUGAGUUGCACCUUAAGUGUUAAGGUGGUGUGUAACUAUACCACCAGAGGUAUUCUGUCUCCUAAUGAAUAUCUGAUGAAAGGGUCAUCAGAUAACUGGUCCAUUGGUUAACGAGUUGGUUAAGUAGAUUUCACUUUUCCCCAGAUUUCCUGUUAUAACAUUUGAAAAAUCAUAAACCUUAAGAUCUUGGAACACAUUUUUGUGUACACAUUUGUUUC
Molecule: long non-coding RNA, 385 nt
Filed under: Bos taurus (domestic cattle)
Lineage: Eukaryota; Metazoa; Chordata; Mammalia; Artiodactyla; Bovidae
Description: long non-coding RNA NONBTAT001222
Source: RNAcentral